AACCUCACUUGUAUGCAGUAAUCAUUAACUCUCAGGUAGGUCUCCUGUGUAGACAUUUUCAUUGAUAUUUGUGUCUUUUUCCCCCUUGGCUCUGUAAUUCUUACUCAUUACAGAGUACCUCUCACUACCUCUUCUGGGCCUUUUUUUUUUUUUGCGUCUACUUUCAAUUUUUGUGUUUUCAGAUAUUCUAAAACACAUUAAAAAAUAACCAGUUUUCUUGUGUUCUUCUGAUGUGUUCUUCUGAUUAUUGUUGCCCUACUUUUCCUUUUGUAGAUGGACAAGGCGUGAACAAACAGAUUUUUAUCGAGUGGUGUCUACGUUUGGUGUGGAAUAUGACCCUGACACGAUGCAGUUCCAUUGGGAUCGCUUCCGCACUUUUGCUCGACUAGACAAAAAGACAGAUGAAAGCCUUACCAAGUACUUCCAUGGCUUUGUGGCCAUGUGCCGCCAAGUAUGCCGCCUUCCCCCAGCAGCUGGAGAUGAACCCCCAGACCCUAAUCUCUUCAUUGAGCCCAUCACUGAGGAGAGAGCCUCACGGACUCUCUACCGUAUAGAAUUGCUUCGGCGCU
Molecule: small RNA, 569 nt
Filed under: Pongo abelii (Sumatran orangutan)
Lineage: Eukaryota; Metazoa; Chordata; Mammalia; Primates; Hominidae
Description: retained intron
Source: RNAcentral